RNAcentral lists this ribosomal RNA (441 nucleotides) under uncultured bacterium. Its description in RNAcentral is "partial 16S ribosomal RNA". It matches the Rfam family "Bacterial small subunit ribosomal RNA", at positions 28 to 507 of the family's 1533-position model. The record is from RNAcentral.
GAUGAACGCUGGCGGCGUGCCUAAUACAUGCAAGUCGAACGGGGAGUAGCAAUACUCUUAGUGGCGAACGGGUGAGUAACGCGUUGGUACCUGCCCCGAAGCGGGGGAUAACGGACCGAAAGGUCCGCUAAUACCCCAUGUGCUCGGUAACGAGUAAAGGUGAAAACCACUUUGGGAGGGGCCUGCGUCCCAUCAGCUAGUUGGUAAGGUAACGGCUUACCAAGGCGAUGACGGGUAGGGGACCUGAGAGGGUGGCCCCCCACAAUGGAACUGAAACACGGUCCAUACACCUACGGGGGGCAGCAGUAGGGAAUAUUGGUAAUGGGCGCAAGCCUGAACCAGCAACGCCGCGUGUGCGAUGACGGCCUUCGGGUUGUAAAGCACUUUUGACUGGGACGAGGAAGGACGGUACCGGUCGAAUCAGCCUCGGCUAACUACGUG